RNAcentral lists this ribosomal RNA (322 nucleotides) under uncultured eukaryote. RNAcentral's name for it is "partial 18S ribosomal RNA". It matches the Rfam family "Eukaryotic small subunit ribosomal RNA", at positions 1470 to 1796 of the family's 1831-position model. The record is from RNAcentral.
CCCUUAGAUGUUCUGGGCCGCACGCGUGCUACACUGAGUGGAUCAGCGGGUCAGGUUGCGCGAAAGUGUUUCCUAAUCUUGAAAUCCGCUCGUGAUGGGGAUUGACGGUUGCAAUUUUCUGUCAUGAACGAGGAAUACCUUGUAAGCGCGGGUCAUCAUCCCGCGCUGAAUACGUCCCUGCCCUUUGUACACACCGCCCGUCGCUCCUACCGAUUGAGUGGUCCGGUGAGGCUUUGGGAUCUGGAUGGAAAGAGCGUUUCGCUGUUUCUGCCCGGAAAACUCGGUCGAACCUUAUCAUUUAGAGGAAGGAGAAGUCGUAACA